GGGCACAUGGUGUAGUUGGUUAUCACAUCCGCUUAGCAUCCGACUUUGGAUCUGUUGCGGGGGGUGCUGGGUUCAAUUCCCAGUGUGUCCA
Non-coding RNA from Trametes punicea, 91 nucleotides. Lineage: Eukaryota; Fungi; Basidiomycota; Agaricomycetes; Polyporales; Polyporaceae. The record is from the annotation of a GenBank genome assembly.